UACUCGUUAUUUUACAACAAAAUCCCUAACAGUGUAGCUCCAUAUGAACCCAUGUAAAUGGGUACGGAAAAAAAGUACGAAACGUUCCGUGGUUGGCUAGUACGGACGUUCCAGGCAAAUUAAUGACCAGACAUGUUCCGUACUUCACAGUGCGGAAGAGAGAGCACCUAUCACAAUCUAAGGACUUGUCAUCAGCCUAUGCGGUUUCGUUAUUUGCAAAGACAUUCUUCCCAAAGGUCUGAAAUUCUUGGCUGCAAGACUGUACCAAAGCUUAAUGAUGUGUUUGUGAGGUGGCUGUGCCCAAGGUCUGCGAACCUACUGAUUCAUCAUGUUCAACAAAGAAAUGAAGAACUUGUGGGCGGCGCAGCUGGACAAGAUGACUCCUGAUCUGAUAGGCUUCUUCAACAGUUACUGCUGUGAGAGUCCUCGUAGCAAUGCCGAGCUGAGCAGCUGAAAGUUUUUUCGGAAGCCCAAGGCGCUGUGGAGAACAUGGAGAGCCAGAUUCCCAACAGGACUGUGACUCUGAUUCUGAAUUUUUGGAGAAUGCUGUGUGUUCUAAAGGCAACAUCAUCCUAUUGGUCCAAGGAUUCUCAGUGUUUGAUCCAAAUGCCAAAUGCUUUGUAGUUAUUCGAAUGAACCAGGUUAUAGAAGCUAGAGAUCAAUUGGAGGGCAUCUUAGUGAUGUUUAUUUGUUUUUUCAUCUUUGGUUUCAAGUACACUGAAGACGUAUUAUAUUUUCUUUGGCUUCCUAUUAAAAAGCUGUCAAAAGUUGGUGUUUGUAGUACUUGC
This is a long non-coding RNA of Thrips palmi, 788 nucleotides long. RefSeq lists it as uncharacterized. The record is from RefSeq and is a predicted model, not a curated record. Lineage: Eukaryota; Metazoa; Arthropoda; Insecta; Thysanoptera; Thripidae. The transcript has 3 exons.